AUUGUGGAGUAUCAGAUGAAGGCUGUGCUGCUCUCGCUUCAGCUCUGAUAUCAAACCCCUCACACCUGAGAGAACUGUAUCUGUCUGUGAAUAAAGUAGGAGACUCAGGAGUGAAGUGUCUCUCUGAUCUGAAGGAUGAUGAACGUUACAAACUACAGACACUAAGUGUUUACUGAUGAUGAACAAUUGUGUGUGAAGACUCCAGUGUUCCUGCAUUUCCGUGUCUGCAAACCGAGAACACGUUUAUCUACAGGAUCUGAGGAGUUGAUGUGAAAAAGCCCAGAGCAGAAGGAGUCCAAAUCACAUGUAUUACUUUGUGCUUUAGUUAGUAUUUAAUAGAGUUUCUCUCUUUAUGCUACAGGAUCAGACCCAAUCCAAUCUUUAUAUUCUCUCUGAUCUGAUCUCCAUUUCUUACUAGUAUCAGAUGACCAACCCAGUAUGGGAUCAGUGCCAUCUUUAGUGCCUGCAUAUAUACACACACACACACACACACACACACACUUACUCACACCUGGAUGUCUAUAUAAUGCGUAUAUGAUGUAUUAUAUAAUAUUUCUUACAAAAACACUGAUAAAACUGUUUUUAUAUAAAGUAUAGAAGAAAAAUAAAUGGAGUUUUAUUUACUCUUCUUUGUUUUGUUCUACACCACUUUUUGGAAAUUUCCCACAAAUAAAGUUUUAUCUUAAAGGCU
This is a long non-coding RNA of Silurus meridionalis, 691 nucleotides long. RefSeq lists it as uncharacterized. NCBI's taxonomy places the organism in Eukaryota, Metazoa, Chordata, Actinopteri, Siluriformes, Siluridae. The record is from RefSeq and is a predicted model, not a curated record. The transcript has 2 exons.